GCGCCUGUGGUUCAAAAGGGUAGGGCACUGGCCCCAUAUGCCAGAGGUGACAGGUUCAAAUCCAGUCCUGGCCA
Otolemur garnettii (small-eared galago) is the source of this 74-nucleotide non-coding RNA. Lineage: Eukaryota; Metazoa; Chordata; Mammalia; Primates; Galagidae. The record is from Rfam.